GAAUGGGAAGAGGAUGGGAAGCCCCACGCACGCUGCAGCUGCCGGGAAAGAAGCCCAGCAGCUCUCCUCCCCGGCGCACCGCUGGGAGAUGGCACGGUGCUGGGCUCCAGGCUGGCACCGAGCGUUUCUAUCAGCUCCUGUUGGCUGUGGAAGUCCAAUUCCCUCCACCUUUUCCCCCUGCAACUCCAAGCAUCAGGUCUGGGCAGGCAAAAAGCAGCUCAGCACCCUCCAAAAGCAGCUGCUGUGCGCAACCGGAGUGCGCACGGGAAGGAAAAAGCUGGUGGCAAGGGCUGGUGGCUGCUGAUUUCACAGCUUCCACGGGAGGGAUUUCAUCUCUGGGUUAGGGUUUUUCUCCCCCUUCUCCUUUCUGGAUCUCUGAGCUCCCUGCCCCAAAGCACAGCUCACACCUGGGUGGGUUUGCUGCUAUCCCCAAAUAUCUGGCUCUCAGGCUUGGCUUUUGGCUCAGGAGCACCGGAUGGUCCCCAAGGCCAGGCAGAUGCCACCCAUCCUGCCCCGUGGUGGGAGCCUGGGGGUUUGUUUGCAAAGCCUGCGUCUGCUCCCUGCUCGAUUAAAGGCUGGUCCUGGCUCCAAAGGGCGAGGAAACCUCUCCCCACCCUCCUGCUCCUGAGGCUCAGCAGGACGAGGAGCUCACCGCCCUGCAGCAAACCCAGCACCAUGCCAGGCUGCGAACCUGGGGGCAUCACCCUGGAGCAGGCACAGGCACAGGGAUGCAACCAAAUCCCCGUGCAAGUGGUGCAAAUCCCACUGGGAGCCCAAACCCGUGCCCACCUCGCAGGAUUCUGGCACUGGGCUCCAUCCCCAGGGCCAGGAAGGGCAGGGGAAGAGCAAAAACAAAGCUGGCCAAGGGGUGAUUCAGCACAGAACUCCUCGGGGACACGAAGGAGAAGGGGACACCCCGGCCAAAGUCUAAGGGUUGCGCUCUCGGGAAGCCCGUGGCCGCGCAGCUUUGCUCAGAGCACCGAGCCAGGGAAGCCGAGUUCCCCGCAGCGCUUUGUUGAACAACUGGGAGCGAAUUCCAGGAGCAAGCACACCCUCUGCAGCAUUUCCAGGCAGCUGAUGGCACCGGGAUCUCAGCCCCCAGCACGGGAGGAAGCUCAGCGAGCAGCUGAAAAGCUCGGAGAGGCACCGGGGCAGGAGGCAGGAGGGUGCCACGGGCGCUUCCACCGCCCCCAUAAAGAGCAGGGGGAGCGGAGAUAA
This 1218-nucleotide long non-coding RNA is filed under the name Anas platyrhynchos platyrhynchos (common mallard). RNAcentral describes it as "lncRNA (ENSAPLG00000021495.1)". The record is from RNAcentral. Lineage: Eukaryota; Metazoa; Chordata; Aves; Anseriformes; Anatidae.